AAGAUACUAGUAUAACGAUAGUACACUGCCUUGUCGAGGCAAAACUGCAGGUUAAACCCCUGCGUAUCUUA
This 71-nucleotide transfer RNA is filed under the name Parioglossus dotui. RNAcentral describes it as "tRNA-Asp". It matches the Rfam family "tRNA". Rfam says of the family: Transfer RNA (tRNA) molecules are approximately 80 nucleotides in length. Their secondary structure includes four short double-helical elements and three loops (D, anti-codon, and T loops). Further hydrogen bonds mediate the characteristic L-shaped molecular structure. tRNAs have two regions of fundamental functional importance: the anti-codon, which is responsible for specific mRNA codon recognition, and the 3' end, to which the tRNAs corresponding amino acid is attached (by aminoacyl-tRNA synthetases). tRNAs cope with the degeneracy of the genetic code in two manners: having more than one tRNA (with a specific anti-codon) for a particular amino acid; and 'wobble' base-pairing, i.e. permitting non-standard base-pairing at the 3rd anti-codon position. Lineage: Eukaryota; Metazoa; Chordata; Actinopteri; Gobiiformes; Gobiidae. The record is from RNAcentral.